Molecule: ribosomal RNA, 478 nt
Filed under: uncultured bacterium
Lineage: Bacteria
Description: partial 16S ribosomal RNA
Rfam family: Bacterial small subunit ribosomal RNA
Source: RNAcentral
GACGAACGCUGGCGGCGUGCUUAACACAUGCAAGUCGAACGGUAAGGCCCUUCGGGGUACACGAGUGGCGAACGGGUGAGUAACAGGUGGGCGAUCUGCCCUGCACUUCGGGAUAAGCCUGGGAAACUGGGGCUAAUACCGGAUAGGACCGCUGGCUGCAUGGGCGGUGGUGGAAAGCUUUUGCGGUGUGGGAUGGGACUGCGGCCUAUCAGCUUGUUGGUGGGGUGAGGGCCUACCAAGGCGACGACGGGUAGCCGGCCUGAGAGGGUGACCGGCCACACUGGGCCUGAGAUACGGCCCAGACUCCUACGGGAGGCAGCAGUGGGGAAUAUUGCACAAUGGGCGCAAGCCUGAUGCAGCGACGCCGCGUGAGGGAUGACGGCCUUCGGGUUGUAAACCUCUUUCAGCACCGACGAAGCGCAAGUGACGGUAGGUGCAGAAGAAGGACCGGCCAACUACGUGCCAGCCGCCGCAGUAA